UACGUAGGGGGCGAGCGUUGUCCGGAGUUACUGGGCGUAAAGCGCACGCAGGCGGUCUGCUAAGUUUGGAGUGACAGUUGGUGGCUUAACUGCCAAAGUGCUUCGAAAACUGACAGACUUGAGGGCUUCAGAGGGACACGGAAUCCGGGUGGAGUGGUGAAAUGCGCAGAUAUCAGGAAGAACACCAAUGGCGAAGGCAGCUCGCUGGGACGGUACUGACGCUGAGACGCGAAAGCGUGGGGAGCAAACAGG
Molecule: ribosomal RNA, 252 nt
Filed under: uncultured bacterium
Lineage: Bacteria
Description: partial 16S ribosomal RNA
Rfam family: Bacterial small subunit ribosomal RNA
Source: RNAcentral